GAUGAACGCUGGCGGUGUGCCUAAUACAUGCCAGUCGAGCGAACAGACGAGGAGCUCGUUCCUUUGACGUUAGCGGCGGACGGGUGAGUAACACGUGGAUAACCUACCUAUAAGACUGGGAUAACUUCGGGAAACCGGAGCUACUACCAGCUAAUAUAUUGAACCGCAUGGUUCAAUAGUGUAACCUGGCUUUGCCGUCACUUAUAGAUGGAUCCGCGUUGCAUUAGCUAGUUGGUAAGGUAACGGCUUACCAAGGCAACGAUGCGUAGCCGAUCUGAGAGGGUGAUCGGCCACACUGGAACUGAGACACGGUCCAGACUCCUACGGGAGGAAGCAGUGGGGAAUAUUGCGCAAUGGGCGAAAGCCUGAUGGAGCAACGCCGCGUGAGUGACGAAGGUCUUCGGGUCGUAAAACUCUGUUAUUGGGGAAGAACAAAAGUGUAAUUAACUAUGCACGUCUUGACGGUACCUAAUGAGAAAGCCACGGCUAACUACGUG
Molecule: ribosomal RNA, 497 nt
Filed under: uncultured bacterium
Lineage: Bacteria
Description: partial 16S ribosomal RNA
Rfam family: Bacterial small subunit ribosomal RNA
Source: RNAcentral